Molecule: long non-coding RNA, 606 nt
Filed under: Rattus norvegicus (Norway rat)
Lineage: Eukaryota; Metazoa; Chordata; Mammalia; Rodentia; Muridae
Description: long non-coding RNA NONRATT005946
Source: RNAcentral
CUUUUUUUUUUUUUUUUUUUUUCUUUUUUUCGGAGCUGGGGACCGAACCCAGGGCCUUGCAUUUGCUAGGCAAGCGCUCUACCACUUAGCUAAAUCCCCAACCCCUGGAAGGGUAACUUCUUGAUAAAGUCCUAUGUACAUCCCAGGGUCAUGGCUGAGUGGUGGGGUCAGGGUUGGGAUGGAGAGAUCUGUUCUCUCCUUUUGGCCUGUGGCAUUAGUAGCCUCUGCUCAGAGUUCUGCAAUGAAAGGCGUGAACGUCAUCUUCCUGUGUGAGAUUGCUGGGUGUUCAGUUUUCCGGACAGCCCAGCCCAGCUUGCUCCCUCCACCCUCCAUCCAGGCUGAUUCAUUCACCAGUUUCCCUGGAGGUCCAGUUUUGUUCUUUAAAACCAGCCGUGGCUUGCUUUUCCCUCACCAGCUCUGAAUUCUUCCAGGCUAGGCAACUGGGAAAACCUGGCCUUAGGAACUGCUUUACUGGCUUCUGGCCCAGCCAGACUGACCAAAAUAGCCACCAGAAGGACUGUUUGUGCAGAGCGAAAUUCCUACUAGGGAAAUACCAUAGUGGAGGGCUAAGGAAGCCAUAGCUGGGAAGGAUUUAAAAAAAAAAAA